CAGGAUGAACGCUGGCGGCGUGCUUAACACAUGCAAGUCGAACGAAGCACCUCUCCCGAAGAUUGACACAGCUUGCUGUAGAUUGAUUCAUUUGAGGUGACUGAGUGGCGGACGGGUGAGUAACGCGUGGGUAACCUGCCUCAUAGAGGGGGACAACAGUUGGAAACGACUGCUAAUACCGCAUAGUAAGAAGAAUUCGCAUGUUUUCUUCUUGAAAGAUUUAUCGCUAUGAGAUGGACCCGCGUCUGAUUAGCUAGUUGGUAAGGUAACGGCUUACCAAGGCGACGAUCAGUAGCCGGCUUGAGAGAGUGAACGGCCACAUUGGGACUGAGACACGGCCCAAACUCCUACGGGAGGCAGCAGUGGGGAAUCUUGCGCAAUGGGGGGAACCCUGACGCAGCGACGCCGCGUGCGGGACGGAGGCCUUCGGGUCGUAAACCGCUUUCAGCAGGGAAGAGUCAAGACUGUACCUGCAGAAGAAGCCCCGGCUAACUACGUGCCAGCAGCCGCGGUAAUACGUAGGGGGCGAGCGUUAUCCGGAUUCAUUGGGCGUAAAGCGCGCGUAGGCGGCCCGGCAGGCCGGGGGUCCGAAGCGGGGGGGCUCAACCCCCCCGAAGCCCCCGAAACCUCCGCGGCUUGGGUCCGGUAGGGGAGGGUGGAACACCCGGUGUAGCGGUGGAAUGCGCAGAUAUCGGGUGGAACACCGGUGGCGAAGGCGGCCCUCUGGGCCGAGACCGACGCUGAGGCGCGAAAGCUGGGGGAGCGAACAGGAUUAGAUACCCUGGUAGUCCCAGCCGUAAACGAUGGAUACUAGGUGUCGGGUGGCAGAGCCAUUCGGUGCCGUCGCAAACGCAGUAAGUAUUCCACCUGGGGAGUACGUUCGCAAGAAUGAAACUCAAAGGAAUUGACGGGGACCCGCACAAGCGGUGGAGCAUGUGGUUUAAUUCGAAGCAACGCGAAGAACCUUACCAAGUCUUGACAUCCGCCUGACUGAUCCUUAACCGGAUCUUUCCUUCGGGACAGGCGAGACAGGUGGUGCAUGGUUGUCGUCAGCUCGUGUCGUGAGAUGUUGGGCUAAGUCCCGCAACGAGCGCAACCCUUAUGGUCAGUUACUACGCAAGAGGACUCUGGCCAGACUGCCGUUGACAAAACGGAGGAAGGUGGGGAUGACGUCAAAUCAUCAUGCCCUUUAUGACUUGGGCUACACACGUACUACAAUGGCGUUAAACAAAGAGAAGCAAGACCGCGAGGAGGAGCAAAACUCAGAAACAACGUCCCAGUUCGGACUGCAGGCUGCAACUCGCCUGCACGAAGUCGGAAUUGCAAGUAAUCGUGGAUCAGCAUGCCACGGUGAA
RNAcentral lists this ribosomal RNA (1355 nucleotides) under uncultured bacterium. RNAcentral describes it as "partial 16S ribosomal RNA". It matches the Rfam family "Bacterial small subunit ribosomal RNA", at positions 25 to 1366 of the family's 1533-position model. The record is from RNAcentral.